Molecule: ribosomal RNA, 2619 nt
Filed under: Acinetobacter baumannii
Lineage: Bacteria; Pseudomonadati; Pseudomonadota; Gammaproteobacteria; Moraxellales; Moraxellaceae
Description: partial 23S ribosomal RNA
Rfam family: Bacterial large subunit ribosomal RNA
Source: RNAcentral
GUUAUGUGUGUUUUAGUGGAACGCUCUGGGAAGUGCGAACGUAGAGGGUGAUAUUCCCGUACACGAAAGGGCACACAUAAUGAUGACGAGUAGGGCGAGGCACGUGAAACCUUGUCUGAAUAUGGGGGGACCAUCCUCCAAGGCUAAAUACUCCUGACUGACCGAUAGUGAACCAGUACCGUGAGGGAAAGGCGAAAAGAACCCCUGUGAGGGGAGUGAAAUAGAUCCUGAAACCGCAUGCAUACAAGCAGUGGGAGCACCUUCGUGGUGUGACUGCGUACCUUUUGUAUAAUGGGUCAGCGACUUAUAUUCAGUAGCGAGGUUAACCGUAUAGGGGAGCCGUAGAGAAAUCGAGUCUUAAUAGGGCGUUUAGUUGCUGGGUAUAGACCCGAAACCAGGCGAUCUAUCCAUGAGCAGGUUGAAGGUUGGGUAACACUAACUGGAGGACCGAACCCACUGUCGUUGAAAAGCCAGGGGAUGACUUGUGGAUAGGGGUGAAAGGCUAAUCAAGCCUGGUGAUAGCUGGUUCUCCCCGAAAGCUAUUUAGGUAGCGCCUCGGACGAAUACCAUAGGGGGUAGAGCACUGUUUCGGCUAGGGGGUCAUCCCGACUUACCAAACCGAUGCAAACUCCGAAUACCUAUGAGUACUAUCCGGGAGACAGACUGCGGGUGCUAACGUCCGUAGUCAAGAGGAAAACAAUCCAGACCGCCAGCUAAGGCCCCAAAAUCAUAGUUAAGUGGGAAACGAUGUGGGAAGGCAUAGACAGCUAGGAGGUUGGCUUAGAAGCAGCCACCCUUUAAAGAAAGCGUAAUAGCUCACUAGUCGAGUCGGCCUGCGCGGAAGAUGUAACGGGGCUAAAACUAUGUGCCGAAGCUGCGGAUGUAUACUUUGUAUACGUGGUAGGGGAGCGUUCUGUAAGCCGAUGAAGGUGUGUUGAGAAGCAUGCUGGAGGUAUCAGAAGUGCGAAUGCUGACGUGAGUAACGACAAAACGGGUGAAAAACCCGUUCGCCGAAAGACCAAGGGUUCCAGUCCAACGUUAAUCGGGGCUGGGUGAGUCGACCCCUAAGGCGAGGCCGAAAGGCGUAGUCGAUGGGAAAAUGGUUAAUAUUCCAUUACUUCUGUGUAAUGCGAUGAGAGGACGGAGAAGGCUAAAUCAGCCUGGCGUUGGUUGUCCAGGUGAAAGGAUGUAGGCAUGUAUCUUAGGCAAAUCCGGGGUACUCUAUGCUGAGAUCUGAUAGCAAGCUGUACUUGUACAGCGAAGUGGUUGAUGCCAUGCUUCCAGGAAAAGUCUCUAAGCUUCAGUUACACAGGAAUCGUACCCGAAACCGACACAGGUGGUCAGGUCGAGUAGACCAAGGCGCUUGAGAGAACUCUGCUGAAGGAACUAGGCAAAAUGGUACCGUAACUUCGGGAGAAGGUACGCUGUUGUUGGUGAUGGAACUCGCUUCCUGAGCUGACGACAGCCGCAGAAACCAGGCCGCUGCAACUGUUUAUUAAAAACAUAGCACUCUGCAAACACGAAAGUGGACGUAUAGGGUGUGAUGCCUGCCCGGUGCUGGAAGGUUAAUUGAUGGGGUUAGCGUAAGCGAAGCUCUUGAUCGAAGCCCCAGUAAACGGCGGCCGUAACUAUAACGGUCCUAAGGUAGCGAAAUUCCUUGUCGGGUAAGUUCCGACCUGCACGAAUGGCAUAAUGAUGGCGGCGCUGUCUCCAGCAGAGGCUCAGUGAAAUCGAAAUCGCUGUGAAGAUGCAGUGUACCCGCGGCUAGACGGAAAGACCCCGUGAACCUUUACUGCAGCUUGACACUGAACUUUGACCUUACUUGUGUAGGAUAGGUGGGAGGCUUUGAAGCUGGAACGCUAGUUCCAGUGGAGCCGUCCUUGAAAUACCACCCUGGUAAUGUUGAGGUUCUAACUCUGUCCCGUGAUCCGGGACGAGGACCGUGUCUGGUGGGUAGUUUGACUGGGGCGGUCUCCUCCUAAAGAGUAACGGAGGAGUACGAAGGUGCGCUCAGCGUGGUCGGAAAUCACGCGUAGAGUAUAAAGGCAAAAGCGCGCUUAACUGCGAGACCCACAAGUCGAGCAGGUACGAAAGUAGGUCUUAGUGAUCCGGUGGUUCUGUAUGGAAGGGCCAUCGCUCAACGGAUAAAAGGUACUCUGGGGAUAACAGGCUGAUACCGCCCAAGAGUUCAUAUCGACGGCGGUGUUUGGCACCUCGAUGUCGGCUCAUCUCAUCCUGGGGCUGAAGCAGGUCCCAAGGGUAUGGCUGUUCGCCAUUUAAAGAGGUACGCGAGCUGGGUUUAGAACGUCGUGAGACAGUUCGGUCCCUAUCUACCGUGGGCGCUGGAAAUUUGAGAGGAUCUGCUCCUAGUACGAGAGGACCAGAGUGGACGAACCUCUGGUGUACCGGUUGUGACGCCAGUCGCAUCGCCGGGUAGCUAUGUUCGGAAGGGAUAACCGCUGAAAGCAUCUAAGCGGGAAGCCUACCUCAAGAUAAGAUUUCCCUAGGACUUUAUGUCCUCUAAAGAGCCGUUCGAGACUAGGACGUUGAUAGGUUGGAUGUGGAAGCAUAGUGAUAUGUGAAGCUGACCAAUACUAAUUGCUCGUGAGGCUUGACUAU